GGAGAAGGAGAAGAAGACGGAGGAGGAGGAGGAGGAGAUGAUGGAGGAAGUGAACGUGUCAUUGGGGGCCCUGCCCACUCUCUCUCCCCCCCCCCGUCCCCCACCAGUCAGACAGUAUGAUCAAGUGGUACCACUGGAAGAUCUCACCAUGCUCAGAAAAGGGAGGAGAAAGGAAGACUGAACCUGAGUGAGAGGAUACUGGAGGAACCCAAGAAAUGAAUCAACCAGCAACUAGGUGACAUCCCUUCCAAUACCUGAAGACAGCUAUCAUGUCUCCUCUUCUAAGUUGUUUUUUUUUUCCCCAAGUUCCUUCAAACAAUCCUCAUGUGGCAGGGCCAGAACCUUUUCCUACCGUGGAGCCCUUUCCAAAACGUGGUUCGUGGAAGUGGGCCCAUCACCUCCUCAUCCUUAGAGCUUGCAGAACACUCAAGUUCUUAGAUCUUUUUGUCUGACUAUGCCUCUCUUUUUUCCUUUCCACCUGCUACUUUUGAGGCUGAAUUUUUCAACUCAAUGAUAAGACUCUAUUAAACUUAUCUUUAUAAAAUGUCAUCUUAACAGAUGGGACUUAUUGUUCUAAGCUGCCAAGAUCUUUUUGCAUACCAUCAGCCAAUGUCUUAACUAGCCUGCUGAGCAAUUUUUAUAAGCAUGCCAUCCAAGUUAUUAAUAUCAAAAUGUUAAACCCCAAAGGCUCAGCAAAGACAGAUCCCAGGACACUAAACAAAGAGGCAUUCGCUCCCCUCUCUGCCUCCUAGGUAAAUCUGUGGUCAUACUUCUUUGGUCUACAAAACAGGUAUCAGAUUAUUUCCUUCCUCUUCCUAAAAUGGAUAAAGAAUAACUAUCCCCAUACAUUUGGGAUGUUUGUGAGUGCUGCAUUAUAGAUUGUUAUAUUUCCUCAUCUCCAAGAGAAGCGCUCUAUAAACCCAAUGUAUUCUUAUUUAGGAAAAUCACAUUUGCAAUGGAGCCUUUGAACAAUUCCAAAUGAAUUCCUAGAGUAUUUCCCUUCCCUGGUUUAAGGGCCAACCUACCUGCAGCUAAAUUGAUUUCUAAAUCGAUUUUUCUUUUGGUCCAGAUGAGUGAGUUGUAGGGUAUCCUGGGUAUCAGUUUCCUCUGCAUCCAACUCAGAAACUCAUCUGUAAUUUAUUCUUCAGGAAUUGCCUGGGGGCACUAAGAGGUUAAAGGGACUUGUCCCUGGUCUGUAGGAGUCAGAGAAAGAACUUGAACCCAGCCCUUCUUGACUCCAAGACUGGCACACUCCCUAUCUGGGGGGUGCCCCAACGUCUUGGUACAGUUUUCAGCUUUGAUGACUACAUAAGUAUAAAUGCUACAAACUGACAAAAACAUUGGAAAGGUUAUUGACAUUUUGAAAAUUUUGCUAUGUUUCUUACUAAAACUCACCCAAACCACCAUCUUGGGUUACAGAUUUCUCUAGUCAGUUUUCAAACACUUUUGCCCAUUGCCUCUCAGUGACCGAAAAGGAUUCUGUUUGUAAUACUAGCCUUAAGGUCACCUGAAGAACAAGGUUUUGAUGCAUGUGUGAGAAUUUUGACAUGACUCCAUGAGAAAAAGCCUAAUGUCAGUCCAUCAGGUGCUCCAGGCAGCCAAAGAAGAGGACACCCUCGACUAAUCCCAGGUUUAUUAAAGUGUCAAUCAGAAAAUAGCACACACACAGUGUACAAUGACAGCAUGUUCUGUCUGGUUACAAAUUAAAAUGAAAAAUUAAUUAUUCAGAAUUCCCAAAAACCAAGUGUGAAAGAAUUUAAAUGACUAAAUUUUCAAAUGUUCUUUAAAAAUGUAGUAUUUAAACUCUGAAAGUUAUUAAAGCUUAAAACAGCACUAAGACUUUGGGGAUAACCAAUAUAAAUUGAUAUUUACUAAUGUUAACUUUUUGGUUCAUCAACAAAAUCACUUUGUUGAUAUGUUCAUUCAACAAACAUUUAUUAGGUACCUAAUAUGUACAAAGCAGUGUGUUCUGGCUGCUGUGGGGCAUAGAUUAAUGGCUACUUUAUUUUCUGUUCGGUAGAGGAAGAAAAACAAUGACAACUCAGCAUAUGAGAAAGGCAGGGCCUGGAUGAGAGAGUGCUCCUGGUCCCUUCCAGCUCUAAACCCUGCCAUUUUACAAGUGACCUGGUUUGUUGUUUUUUUAAAUGAAGGGGUUGUUCGUCCAGAACAUCUGUCCAAGGUCUAUUCUUUAUCAUAAUGAAGGAAUAAAAAGGUAUUUAUUGAGGGCAAAGCACUGGGGAUGCAAACAGCUUUCAAAUGAGUCCUUUAAUGGAUCUGGGACUUGGCAUUCCGUCCACUGAUGUAAGGGAGCAUAACCCAUUAAUGCCUCCCCAUCCGUUGGGGUUCUUGUCCAGAUCCUCCAUAAGGGAUCCACCUAAAAUGCCUUUCUCUAGCUCUCCUGACGUGGCAUGGACACAAGAGGGACAUAUGAAUUUUCCAGUGGUUUUCCCUCAUUCUACCUAUGUGGCUGACAGCUUUCUCCAAGCACAAGCUUUUCAAGCUGACCAAUAAUCAUACAAUAAUACUUGCCAUUUACUAUUAAAUUAAGGUACCCUUUCUUUGCUGUGAGCCCUCUGCUAAAGUCUGUAGAGAAAGAAUCACAUCUAAUUUAAUUUAACCACCCCCCCCAACCCCAAACAACAGCUCCCUAAUCUGAUUACUUCCACAAUCUUCCCCUGGAUGUUGCUAGCCAGCCACAUUCUUCCUACAAAACUCAAUGGCUUCGAAGGCGACUCCAAAAGAGGAAUUUCAAGAAUGUUUAAAGUAAUGUUAGAUUAGGUAUCCAGGAUGCAUUCUGGUAUGUUUGUUAGAAACAACAAAACAAAUCUCACCAAAACAAACACCCCUCCCCCCAACCAAACACAAAGACAAAAACACACAACAGUCUCCUUACUUUAUAAUCACAUCUCAUAUUCAUCUUAUGUCCAAAUUAGAAUUACAUGGGCUUUUGGGUACCAUACUAAAUCUUUGUCCUAUGAAAUUCUGCAAAGUGAUCUGAUUUUAUCAUCUUAGCUGUAUUAUGUGAAAAUUUCAAUGACUUAUUUACUGAUACGACUGAGUUUGUUCUCCACAUUUAUUACCCACCUCAAACACGAAGUGGAAGGCAGGCCAAGUGCCGAUGCCUUAACACCCUUGUUUCCAUGACUGCCUUGUCCUGGGGGUGUUCUAGGAAGAAGAGUCUGGAUGCUGCAUUCCCACCCUUGAUGUGCUGCCUUCGGGAAAGCCCCAGGCCUCAAGGAGAACUACUAACAGGACCACUGUUUGACAUGAGCAACAGCAA
Molecule: long non-coding RNA, 3280 nt
Organism: Dromiciops gliroides (monito del monte)
Lineage: Eukaryota; Metazoa; Chordata; Mammalia; Microbiotheria; Microbiotheriidae
Exons: 3
Source: RefSeq, a predicted model, not a curated record